This is a long non-coding RNA of Limulus polyphemus (Atlantic horseshoe crab), 1626 nucleotides long. RefSeq lists it as uncharacterized. NCBI's taxonomy places the organism in Eukaryota, Metazoa, Arthropoda, Merostomata, Xiphosura, Limulidae. The record is from RefSeq and is a predicted model, not a curated record. The transcript is spliced from 2 exons.
AGUUUAAUUUACUCCAUUAUAUGAACUGUAUAUAUCUAGGCCUACUAAAUUACCAGUUUAAUUUACUCCAUUAUAUGAACUGUAUAUAUCUAGGCCUAUUUUAUUAACAUUUCAAAUCUACUCCAUUAUUUCACCUAUGUAGAUCUAAGUUUAAUUUAUUCCAUUAUAUCACCUGCAUAGUAACCAGACAACUAGGCUAUGUACAAUUAGACAGAUAUGUUGCAACUCAGCAAAUUCUACCUUUAAGUAUUUUGCAAAGCUUUAAAAGUUUUAACACCCCUCUAAAACUAUUAGGUGUCUAAAUGUCCUACUUCAUAAUUUUUUUAGGUGUGUAAUUGUCAGGAGUCUAGUUGUUUGGUUACCAGUAUAGCAGUAUUGUCUGGACCUAACACAGCAGAGUGUUGGUAGGCCAUUGUGGUUGAGAGCAAGAGUAGUUUGAUGCUUCUUGUCUAUCCCGAGCAAAAUCAACAGGGGUUCUCUUGACCACUGACUACACACUAUUGAAGUUUAAAGGUCAUAAUUUUUAGGAUGUACUUGUAAAUGUACUUUGAUAGUUGAGUAAAGUACAAGUACAGUACUUGAUGUACUUAAGUACACAAUUACUCGAGUACUUGACCCCAUGCCUGUCCAUGACCAGGUUUCUAACAUCAAUACUAGAGUCUGAUAACAAAAAGUUUUUGUUGUUUCUAGUUAUUAUUAUUAUUUCAAAAACCAUUGUUUAAUGGCAAUACCAUUGAUGAUGUUAUAACUGACAUGUGUAGUAGUGCUAGUGGUAUGAAUUCAUAGUAUAAAGCAUUAGUAAGAAUUUCAGGAUAGUUAGGUAGUGCGAUAUAUCACUCAUUCUGAACACACGUGGUUCAUUUUCUUAGAUAGUUCUUAAUACUUGUAGAGUAUAUUAUAUAACAAUUCAUUAAGUUGAAUGUAGUUUUCAAUAUAACCCAUUCGUGAUCAGAUAAACUCUAGCUGCUUAUCCAUAUUGUUGUGUAAAAGCUGUUAAGGAUGGUUCGUGCUGUCUUAUAACUUUUAUAAGAAAUAACAGAACUCAACAAACAAAUAAAAGAACUGCAUAAUGUUUGUGUUUUAGAUAUUCAAGAAGGCAUGCCAUUUCAAAAUUUCUUAGAAAAAACAAGUCAGUGGCACUUGAUAUUACACAUUUUCCCUGGGAGAGAGUAAAAAACUCCCAGCAUUAAAGUUUGUCAAAUUUUAGAAUAAUAAUUUUUAGUUCACAGGAAACUUGAAUUUUGAGAAUAUCUUUGUAUAUCAAAUUUGUAACUUAGUAUGCACUUCUCUUAAAUUUGCAUUUUGUAGAUUGUUUAAUUUUUAUACAGAUAGACAGGAUGUUGUCGUAGUUGUUAAUAGCUAUAGAUUCUUAUGUAUAUUUAGAAAAAUGUGACUUGUAUAUUGUUUCCAGUAGUCAUUCAUCAGGUUUCUUUUUGGUAAUUUUUAGAGGCUUUCAGAGCCAAAAAUUUUUCUCAAUGGAGUUUUUUUUUCAAAAAAUUUCAGUUUUAGGGGAAUUUUUAAGUCUUUGGAAAAAGUCUUCAAAGAAAUGUCAAAGACCCAGCUUUAAAACAGUGCAAAAAUUAGCCUUUUCAAGGGAUUUUUUACAAAUUAAAAGAAAUAAUUUGC